AACGCUAGCUACAGGCUUAACACAUGCAAGUCGAGGGGCAGCAUGAACUUAGCUUGCUAAGUUUGAUGGCGACCGGCGCACGGGUGAGUAACGCGUAUCCAACCUUCCGUACACUCAGGAAUAGCCUUUCGAAAGAAAGAUUAAUACCUGAUGGUAUGAUGAGAUUGCAUGAAAUCAUCAUUAAAGAUUCAUCGGUGUACGAUGGGGAUGCGUUCCAUUAGAUAGUAGGCGGGGUAACGGCUCACCUAGUCGACGAUGGAUAGGGGUUCUGAGAGGAAGGUCCCCCACAUUGGAACUGAGACACGGUCCAAACUCCUACGGGAGGCAGCAGUGAGGAAUAUUGGUCAAUGGGCGCGAGCCUGAACCAGCCAAGUAGCGUGAAGGAUGAAGGUCCUACGGAUUGUAAACUUCUUUUAUAAGGGAAUAAAGUCACCUACGUGUAGGUGUUUGUAUGUACCUUAUGAAUAAGCAUCGGCUAACUCCGUGCCAGCAGCCGCGGUAAUACGAAGGAUGCGAGCGUUAUCCGGAUUUAUUGGGUUUAAAGGGAGCGUAGACGGGUCGUUAAGUCAGCUGUGAAAGUUUGAGGCUCAACCUUAAAAUUGCAGUUGAUACUGGCGUCCUUGAGUACGGUUGAGGCAGGCGGAAUUCGUGGUGUAGCGGUGAAAUGCUUAGAUAUCACGAAGAACUCCGAUUG
RNAcentral lists this ribosomal RNA (694 nucleotides) under uncultured bacterium. Its description in RNAcentral is "bacterial SSU rRNA". It matches the Rfam family "Bacterial small subunit ribosomal RNA", at positions 32 to 715 of the family's 1533-position model. The record is from RNAcentral.